CUAAGAAGACGCUAUGGAAGGAUGCUGAAGAAAUUGUGGCAAUGAGACCUUAGAAGAACUGAGUCUUUUAGUUUUGUGUCUCAAAUUAGUCAAAUACAUCCCGUACUACCUAUCCAGCUAUCCUGUAGAGAGAUAGAGACCACAUAGCAAAGGACAUUGUAGUCCCAUCUGAGGCCUAGUUCACUGCUCCCAUGAAUGAUCUCAAAUGAUACUGCAUAUGGCAGUAGAGCUGUCCUGAUGACUGACAGGUUUAUGGAGGUACCCAGUUCUGAGCAAGCUAACUGCUGCACGAGUCCUCUACAGUGAAGCAAUCAGUAAGGAGUACAGCAGAUGCUUAGAGGCCUUUACUGAUAGGACAGAAGAGAAUCACCUGAUUAGGACACUGGAUGCGAUGGUACUUCUUGAUAUCCGUCUUCCACUUGUGCAGGACUUCCUGGCUAAAGAGACGUCUUUGCUGUUUUCACUGAGCUGACACAAUGCUAUUGUUACUGUUCCCAUAUCCUCAUCCUGCUGUCUGUGGGUCUCCAGUCUUUUUAAUAUUCCUUUCCCUGCUGAUCAAUGGAUUGGACAUUCUCACAUGUUAACUGAGCAUCUCAAGUCCUCACAUGCAACUAGAAAGAGUUUCAGAAACUUCUUCGAAUUUCCCCAUGAAGAAAUCCCAUCUGUGGCUCAAACCCAAGUCCAAUGGAGUGAAUCAGAACUGGGGGCAACUUUCCAGAUCACGAUGUAAGAAAAAGAUACUGAGGUCUCACUUCAAACCAUCAGCUCUCAAACUUUGUAGUCUCCUAAGAAGAUAAUUAAGAAUGAGAAUUUCUGGUGCUGGAGGCAAGGAUCAGUGUUUAGGAACACUUGUUCCUACAGAGGACCCAGAUUCGAUUCCCAGCACCUACAGGGAGCGUCACAAUCAUCCAUAACUCCAGUUUCAGGAGAUCCGAUGGCCUCUUCUGACCUCCAUGGGUCUGUGAUACACAGACAAUCAUGUUGAGAACAACAUGAAUGCAUAAAUAAAUCUAUAGAGUUUUAAGUGAGUA
This is a long non-coding RNA of Mastomys coucha (southern multimammate mouse), 1031 nucleotides long. RefSeq lists it as uncharacterized. The record is from RefSeq and is a predicted model, not a curated record. NCBI's taxonomy places the organism in Eukaryota, Metazoa, Chordata, Mammalia, Rodentia, Muridae. The transcript has 5 exons.